This 233-nucleotide long non-coding RNA is filed under the name Homo sapiens (human). RNAcentral's name for it is "HSALNT0174499". Lineage: Eukaryota; Metazoa; Chordata; Mammalia; Primates; Hominidae. The record is from RNAcentral.
AGAAGACUGCUUUAUCCCUAGAAGGCAAGGAUAUCUCUAUGAAAAAACUGACAGAGCCCAGUUCCCUUGCCAGAAUCCUGAAUAUUUGAGUCAAGAUUCCAAGAACUCCUCAUCUACCAUUGCAAGUAUAGGGACAAUGUUGCAUAUCUCAGUGGAACAGCCUAAGAUUUGAAGUCAAUAGGAAACUGAGCUUGACAUAGGAUCUGAACACUCAAAUAUCAACACAACCUCCA